RNAcentral lists this ribosomal RNA (478 nucleotides) under uncultured bacterium. RNAcentral describes it as "partial 16S ribosomal RNA". It matches the Rfam family "Bacterial small subunit ribosomal RNA", at positions 28 to 507 of the family's 1533-position model. The record is from RNAcentral.
GAUGAACGCUGGCGGCGUGCUUAACACAUGCAAGUCGAACGAGAAGUGGAGACGGACACCUUCGGGCGGAAGACUUUAUUUCGAGUGGCGGACGGGUGAGUAACGCGUGGGUAACCUGCCUCAUACAGGGGGAUAACAGUUGGAAACGACUGUUAAUACCGCAUAAGACCACAGCACCGCAUGGUGCGGGGGUAAAAACUCCGGUGGGAUGAGAUGGACCCGCGUUCGAUUAGCCAGUUGGCGGGGUAACGGCCCACCAAAGCGACGAUCGAUAGCCGAUCUGAGAGGAUGACCGGCCACAUUGGGACUGAGACACGGCCCAAACUCCUACGGGAGGCAGCAGUGGGGAAUAUUGCACAAUGGGGGAAACCCUGAUGCAGCGACGCCGCGUGAGUGAAGAAGUAUUUCGGUAUGUAAAGCUCUAUCAGCAGGGAAGAAAAUGACGGUACCUGAGUAAGAAGCCCCGGCUAACUACGUG